This 1033-nucleotide long non-coding RNA is filed under the name Vitis vinifera (wine grape). RNAcentral describes it as "long non-coding RNA (VVIN_LNC002655)". The record is from RNAcentral. Lineage: Eukaryota; Viridiplantae; Streptophyta; Magnoliopsida; Vitales; Vitaceae.
GGAAAGGUCAUAUGAUCUUAUAAAGAGCAAUUAGAACAAGCUUAAGCUUGCUUCUCAGUAUUGAGAAACUCAAACCAAGCACAGAUAAGAGCCAUUAAGGUCUCCCAGCAAAACAAAGAUCAAGCGCCAUUUAGGUCUCAAAAACAAAGAUCAAGAGCCAUUUAGGUUUUUCCCAGCAAAACAAUGAUCAAGAACCAUUUGGGUUUUCUCCUAGCAAAACACAAGAUCAGGAGGUAUCCACCUGAAGGAUAUUUGUAAGUAGUUUUUUGAACCAAAGCUGUUAAAGGUGUUCAUACAAACCAGAUGGUAAGUUGGCACCUAAAGUGACCAGUGCAUCUGCUGAGUGGAAGAGUCAUAAGCCCUGGAGUGCUCGAGUUCCAUGUAUUGCCUUCCACUCUGUUGGGGCAACUCGCCCCCACCUGAGAACUGGCUAUUAAUAGGCUGUGAAAUUUGACCAAGACCAAGAUCAGGUGGCAUCUCCUGCGAACUGCUACUACCUUCAUUGCCCUUGAAAUCCCACGAGGUGCUUGGGAAGUGAUUGAUAGCUGCACUAUGAGGAGCUGUGGGUUGCGCCAUGGAUGCCCCUUCAGGAUUCAUGAAGCUGUUUGCUCCAAGACCAGAUGCUCGAUUCCUGGAGCUCCAUGGCUGAUUUGACAGAAGAGAGAGAGCACAGCUUGAGUCGGAGGCCCCUGUGAAACAUUCUCCUGAAGGAAUUCCAGGACCAUGAAAGCUGGUCCCGCCUGCUGAACCUUGCAGAAAGAGAGGAUUCUCAGAGUUGCUCUGCCAUGGAUGUGGAAGAAACCUUCCCAUCGCAGUGGUUUGAUUUCCAGGUACCCGAUCAGAUGCUCUUGUAGUUGGCCAAGUAUCCCUCUCGGGAUGCCUUGGGUAUGCAGCAAAGUCCAUCAGAAAGCCUCCUCCCACCCUGCUGCUGUUUUCUGUCAUUGUAAAUAUCAAAUACUAAAGUCAGAUAAUCAGAAUGUAAAGAAAAAACUCAAAACCAUACAUAUUGCAAUACAGUUUUAGACAAGUGGAG